UACGAGGGGGGCGAGCGUUGUUCGGAAUUAUUGGGCGUAAAGGGUGCGUAGGCGGUUUGGUAAGUCUGAUGUGAAAUCUAUGGGCUCAACUCAUAGUCUGCAUCGGAAACUGCCGGGCUUGAGUGUGGGAGAGGUGAGUGGAAUUCCUGGUGUAGCGGUGAAAUGCGUAGAUAUCAGGAGGAACACCUGUAGCGAAAGCGGCUCACUGGACCAUAACUGACGCUGAUGCACGAAAGCUAGGGGAGCAAACAGG
This 253-nucleotide ribosomal RNA is filed under the name uncultured bacterium. RNAcentral describes it as "partial 16S ribosomal RNA". It matches the Rfam family "Bacterial small subunit ribosomal RNA", at positions 524 to 776 of the family's 1533-position model. The record is from RNAcentral.